UAGGAAAUAGUUAAAUUGGAAUAACUAAGAGUUUUGAUCUCUUAAAUAUGGGUUCAAGUCCCAUUUUCCUAA
RNAcentral lists this transfer RNA (72 nucleotides) under Pristimantis fenestratus (Rio Mamore robber frog). Its description in RNAcentral is "tRNA-Gln". It matches the Rfam family "tRNA". From Rfam's summary of the family: Transfer RNA (tRNA) molecules are approximately 80 nucleotides in length. Their secondary structure includes four short double-helical elements and three loops (D, anti-codon, and T loops). Further hydrogen bonds mediate the characteristic L-shaped molecular structure. tRNAs have two regions of fundamental functional importance: the anti-codon, which is responsible for specific mRNA codon recognition, and the 3' end, to which the tRNAs corresponding amino acid is attached (by aminoacyl-tRNA synthetases). tRNAs cope with the degeneracy of the genetic code in two manners: having more than one tRNA (with a specific anti-codon) for a particular amino acid; and 'wobble' base-pairing, i.e. permitting non-standard base-pairing at the 3rd anti-codon position. Lineage: Eukaryota; Metazoa; Chordata; Amphibia; Anura; Strabomantidae. The record is from RNAcentral.